UCUUAUCUCCUUAUCUUCAGAAGUCUCCGUUGAAAGGUCAUGUCUUAUUUACUGCAUUGCAUUGGAGAAAAUUAUUGGAGAGAAGAGCAUAUGAUGAAUAUAAUUAUGGAAUACGACCAUUUCAUAAAAUUAAAGAAAUUUCUCUAUCAAGCUCUUUAUCAAAAUAUGACUCUUCUGUGUACUCUUUAUGUUGUGAUUCUCUAUUUCUAUACUUCUAUCUCUCAAAUUUUAAAAUUGAGUAUUAUUUUAUUCAAAUUUAAAUAAUUUAAGAUGUAAUAAUAAAGCUUCUAGACAUAAAUCAGAUAAAUAAUCCAUUAUUAUUUUUAUCCAAAAUUAGAUUUUUGAAAUCUA
This 351-nucleotide long non-coding RNA is filed under the name Lathyrus oleraceus (garden pea). RNAcentral's name for it is "Pisum sativum (pea) long non-coding RNA (PSAT_LNC032942)". Lineage: Eukaryota; Viridiplantae; Streptophyta; Magnoliopsida; Fabales; Fabaceae. The record is from RNAcentral.